CAUGUUGCCAGCACGUAAUGGUGGGGACUCAUGGGAGACUGCCGGGGUCAACUCGGAGGAAGGUGGGGACGACGUCAAAUCAUCAUGCCCCUUAUGUCUUGGGCUUCACGCAUGCUACAAUGGCCGGUACAAUGGGUUGCGAUACUGUGAGGUGGAGCUAAUCCCAAAAAGCCGGUCUCAGUUCGGAUUGGGGUCUGCAACUCGACCCCAUGAAGUCGGAGUCGCUAGUAAUCGCAGAUCAGCAACGCUGCGGUGAAUACGUUCCCGGGCCUUGUACACACCGCCCGUCAAGUCACGAAAGUCGGUAACACCCGAAGCCGGUGGCCUAACCCUUGUGGGGGGAGCCGUCGAAGGUGGACCAGC
Molecule: ribosomal RNA, 363 nt
Filed under: Micrococcus sp. M76
Lineage: Bacteria; Bacillati; Actinomycetota; Actinomycetes; Micrococcales; Micrococcaceae
Description: bacterial SSU rRNA
Rfam family: Bacterial small subunit ribosomal RNA
Source: RNAcentral